This 1240-nucleotide long non-coding RNA is filed under the name Homo sapiens (human). RNAcentral's name for it is "HSALNT0007895". Lineage: Eukaryota; Metazoa; Chordata; Mammalia; Primates; Hominidae. The record is from RNAcentral.
CGCGCGCGUCAGAGCCAAGUGGAAUGAUUCCAGAUUGCUUCACGUAUAUGAAGCGGGGGGGAAGCGCCCGUCACCCCAACCCCCUACCCCAACCUUUUGCAGCCUGGACAAGUGGUCUGUAAUGCAGCUUGGCGCAAAAUAAAGUCUGAACAAAACUAGACUGUGAGACUAGCACGUCCUAGAGUGGAAUUGACUGAGGUUAACGCAGAGUCUGUAAAGACUCUACAGACUCGGAUCAUUUGCAAGCAAACUAAAAUUCCCUUUUUUAAAAAAGAAAAAAAAUCAUUAAUUGGGUUCCGAUCUAAAAUACUGCUCUUAAAAUGCGCUCACAUGUUGAAGACUGAGAUUGCAAGUUCUCGAGUAAACAUCUGGUGAAGACAUUCCAGGAACACAUCUGAAAGGAAGAAAGGAACUCUCAAGGUGACUUCAUCCAUGGCGGCUGUGUGGCAGCGAGCUACUUGCGCAUCUCUUCUGUUCCGUGAGGUCAUGUUGGCAGCUUGAAAUUGAUCAAGUGGGAAGCAUUUACAUCACAGAAAUUGUUCACCUUGUGCCCAACCUUCUGUCUCCCUGAGUCAGACCUGCAGACGAUUGCAUGCCACCAGCUGUCUUCACUCCUGAGAACAUGACACAAAGGAAUGCUCCCUGUCAAGUUCUUCAUUAUCCUUCUGAUGAAUUUCCCCUGGUUUAAACAAGUUGGUGGUAGACAGACCUUUCUCGCAUUUUCACAGACGUGCCAGGAGGAAACCCAGCGUCUCUCAGUUUCCUUUAAAUAUAUGAGAUGUUUAAAGGAGAUGAUAAAAAUGCUGCAACCCAGAUAAUGAUCACCUUACUCUUCAAAAAUACUGCCCAAGUUCUUUGUUCAAGAUGCCAAGAACCUGGAUACCCUCCACUGGUAACAAAUAUGACUUUGUUUUUAGCAAGCAACUUUGCAGUGUAAUUAAGUUAAGGAUCUUGAGAUGAGAUCAUCUUGGAAUAUCUGGGUGGGCCCUAAAUCCAAUGACAAGUGUCCUCAUAGGAAGGGAAGAUACACACAGAGGAGAAGGUGGUGUGAAGAUGGAAGCCAAGACUGUUGAUACCAGUUGGAGAGCACCAAGAACUACCCGCAGCCACUGAAAGCUAGGAGAGAGGCAUAGGACUGUCUCCUUCAGACCCUCCAGAAAGACCAAACCUGCCCGUGCCUUGAUUUCAGACUUUUGGCCUCCCACAUUGUGAGAGAAUAAAAUUUUGUUUUUGAAGCCAU